CUCGAUGAGUAGGGCGGGACACGUGGUAUCCUGUCUGAAUAUGGGGGGACCAUCCUCCAAGGCUAAAUACUCCUGACUGACCGAUAGUGAACCAGUACCGUGAGGGAAAGGCGAAAAGAACCCCGGCGAGGGGAGUGAAAAAGAACCUGAAACCGUGUACGUACAAGCAGUGGGAGCACAGAGCAAUCUGUGUGACUGCGUACCUUUUGUAUAAUGGGUCAGCGACUUAUAUUCUGUAGCAAGGUUAACCGAAUAGGGGAGCCGAAGGGAAACCGAGUCUUAACCGGGCGUUAAGUUGCAGGGUAUAGACCCGAAACCCGGUGAUCUAGCCAUGGGCAGGUUGAAGGUUGGGUAACACUAACUGGAGGACCGAACCGACUAAUGUUGAAAAAUUAGCGGAUGACUUGUGGCUGGGGGUGAAAGGCCAAUCAAACCGGGAGAUAGCUGGUUCUCCCCGAAAGCUAUUUAGGUAGCGCCUCGUGAAUUCAUCUCCGGGGGUAGAGCACUGUUUCGGCAAGGGGGUCAUCCCGACUUACCAACCCGAUGCAAACUGCGAAUACCGGAGAAUGUUAUCACGGGAGACACACGGCGGGUGCUAACGUCCGUCGUGAAGAGGGAAACAACCCAGACCGCCAGCUAAGGUCCCAAAGUCAUGGUUAAGUGGGAAACGAUGUGGGAAGGCCCAGACAGCCAGGAUGUUGGCUUAGAAGCAGCCAUCAUUUAAAGAAAGCGUAAUAGCUCACUGGUCGAGUCGGCCUGCGCGGAAGAUGUAACGGGGCUAAACCAUGCACCGAAGCUGCGGCAGCGACACUGUGUGUUGUUGGGUAGGGGAGCGU
RNAcentral lists this ribosomal RNA (836 nucleotides) under Escherichia coli. RNAcentral describes it as "partial 23S ribosomal RNA". It matches the Rfam family "Bacterial large subunit ribosomal RNA", at positions 404 to 1239 of the family's 2925-position model. The record is from RNAcentral. Lineage: Bacteria; Pseudomonadati; Pseudomonadota; Gammaproteobacteria; Enterobacterales; Enterobacteriaceae.